UUUAAUAGUCGAACAGACUAGCCUACCUAGCUGCUACACUAGGAAGCACCUUUAAUUCAACAUCGAGGUCACAAGAUCUCUUAUCAAUUUGGCCUCUCUAAAAGCAUUGUGCUGUUAUCCCUGAGGUAACUACUCUUUAACUUGAUUAAGACCCCAAAACCUUACAAACAUCAGCCUAUAAACUAGAUCUGUUAGUUUACCGCCCCAGUAUAACGCAACAGCAGCAAAGAAUCCUAUUAGUUUAGUCUAAGCCGCAUCUAAGUUAGCUCUGCAGGGUCUUAUCUUCCCAUUGUCUUGGCUUGAAGUUUUAAUCAAACCCUUAAGUUAUAGACCCACAGGCUUACAAGUCGUCUUUCAUGAGCCCCUUCAUUCUAGACCCCAAUUAAGAGCCAAGUUAUUAUGCUACCUUUGCACAGUUAGGG
This 422-nucleotide ribosomal RNA is filed under the name Cytherissa pterygota. Its description in RNAcentral is "partial small subunit ribosomal RNA". Lineage: Eukaryota; Metazoa; Arthropoda; Ostracoda; Podocopida; Cytherideidae. The record is from RNAcentral.